Malus domestica (apple) is the source of this 805-nucleotide non-coding RNA. NCBI's taxonomy places the organism in Eukaryota, Viridiplantae, Streptophyta, Magnoliopsida, Rosales, Rosaceae. The record is from RefSeq and is a predicted model, not a curated record.
UAGUGGCAACAACUUCAUCCUAUUCAUUUGCAUGCAGGCUGUUGCACCUAUAUACUCAACAGCUUCUCCACCCAUGAAAUUACCCAAUUGAUAUGAUAUUUCCUUAGACAAAAAUAAAAAGAUAUUUCCUUGAAAUGUGGGGGCAAGGCUGCAUGUUGUUCGACUGCGCACUACCUCAAAGAAAUUGAGGGGUGUUUGUUUGGCCUCACUAAGAGGGACUAGACUAGACUGGAUUAAGUAUUUAGUGUAGUCCCAUGUUUGGUAGGUAGAGGGACUGAGUUUAGUGGGAUAAACCCGGACUCGCUCAGACAUACUCCUUCGCUAAGAGUUCUUAGUGAGGACCCCCAAAUUUCACGGUACUGCUAAAGCCCAUCCAGCGAGAGAGAGAUUCGCGAUUGUCUGCGAGAGAAGACGUCCUACUCCUUCACCCUCGUCCUGCUCGCCCUCCUCUGCGUCCUGCUCGUCCUCCUCUGCUCCUCGUUAGAAUUCAGCAUAUUCAAAUCCUUGCAAUUGGACUGGAGUUCGUUGUUUUGAUUUCAAGUUCCCUAAGCAGCUGGAUCAAGAUAGUACUUAAUUGGCUAAUGGAGAUAAGGAGAACGAGAACCAUUAGCAAUCUGGACCAAUGAGAGGCGCAAUAUAUGAGUGUUAGUCUGUGAAAUAACUCGAAUUUCAAAUCAAUCACUUGAAAUGCUUAUGUUUUUUGGGAUUUCCAAUGUUCGGGACUUACGUUGAUAAGAAAUGCCCUUUCAUUGGAAAUGUUUCUAUAGGGGCCGCAUCUUGGCUGGCACUUGCCAUAGUGCUAAGA